CCAAUCGAACCCGGAGAUAGCUGGUUCUCCUCGAAAUAGCUUUAGGGCUAGCCUCAUACGAGUCUUGCGGAGGUAGAGCACUGAAUUCCUAAGGGGGCGUCAAAGCUUACUAAGGGAUAUCAAACUCCGAAUGCCGUGUAGAUGAUGUAUGGGAGUCAGACGAUCCGAGAUAAGUUGGGUGGUCAAAAGGGAAAGAGCCCAGACCAACAGCUAAGGCCCCAAAAUGUGUGUUAAGUGGAAAAGGAUGUGGGAUUUCGAAGACAACUAGGAUGUUGGCUCAGAAGCAGCCACACAUUCAAAGAGUGCGUAAUAGCUCACUAGUCGAGAGGUCCUGCGCCGAAAAUGUCCGGGGCUAAAACUUACCACCGAAGCUACGGGCUUGCGUAAGCAAGCGGUAGGGGAGCGUCGUAAUCGGGCUGAAGUCGUACCGUAAGGAGCGGUGGACUGAUUACGAGUGAGAAUGUUGGCAUUAGUAGCGAGAUGUAGGUGAGAAUCCUACAGGCCGAAUAUCUAAGGUUUCCUCAGGAAGGCUCGUCCGCUGAGGGUUAGUCGGGACCUAAGCCGAGGCCGAAAGGCGUAGGCGAUGGACAACAGGUUGAUAUUCCUGUACCACUACCAUCGUUAUUAUCGAGGGUGUGACGGAGAAGGAUAGUGUGUGCUAGCGAUUGGAAAUGCUAGUCUAAGCGUUUAGGCAGUUACGGUAGGCAAAUCCGCUGUAAUGUUAAUGCUGAGGCGUGAUGGGGAAAGCCCUUGAGGCUGAAGUACAUGAUUCCAUGCUUCCAAGAAAAGCAUCUAGAGAGAGAAGUAGUGCCCGUACCGCAAACCGACACAGGUAGAUGAGGAGAGAAUCCUAAGGCCGGCGGAAGAAUUGCAGUUAAGGAACUAGGCAAAUUGACCCCGUAAGUUAGCGAGAAGGGGUGCCUACGAGAGUAGGCCGCAGAGAAUAGGCCCAAGCAACUGUUUAGCAAAAACACAGGUCUCUGCUAAAGCGCAAGCUGAUGUAUAGGGGCUGACGCCUGCCCGGUGCUGGAAGGUUAAGGGGAACACUUAGCGCAAGCGAAGGUGUGAACUUAAGCCCCAGUAAACGGCGGCCGUAACUAUAACGGUCCUAAGGUAGCGAAAUUCCUUGUCAGGUAAGUUCUGACCCGCACGAAUGGCGUAAUGACUUGGGCACUGUCUCAACUGCAAAUCCGGCGAAGUUGUAGUGCGAGUGAAGAUGCUCGCUACCCGCGAUUGGACGGAAAGACCCCGUAGAGCUUUACUGUAGCUUAGCAUUGAAUUCCGGUAUUGUCUGUACAGGAUAGGUGGGAGACUGGGAAACUAGGGCGUCAGCCUUAGUGGAGUCAUCCUUGGGAUACCACCCUGACAGUACUGGGGUUCUAACAGGAUGCCAUGAAUCUGGUGACUGGACAUUGUUAGGUGGGCAGUUUGACUGGGGCGGUCGCCUCCUAAAAAGUAACGGAGGCGCCCAAAGGUUCCCUCAGAACGGUCGGAAAUCGUUCGUAGAGUGCAAAGGCAGAAGGGAGCCUGACUGCGAGACCUACAAGUCGAGCAGGGACGAAAGUCGGGCUUAGUGAUCCGGUGGUACCUCGUGGGAGGGCCAUCGCUCAACGGAUAAAAGCUACCCCGGGGAUAACAGGCUGAUCUCCCCCAAGAGU
RNAcentral lists this ribosomal RNA (1658 nucleotides) under human gut metagenome. RNAcentral's name for it is "bacterial LSU rRNA". It matches the Rfam family "Bacterial large subunit ribosomal RNA", at positions 829 to 2499 of the family's 2925-position model. The record is from RNAcentral.